GCAGUCGAACGCGUGUAGCAAUACACGAGUGGCGGACGGGUGAGUAACACGUGGGAAUCUACCCAGCAGUACGGAAUAACCGCGGGAAACUGCGGCUAAUACCGUAUACGCCCUUCGGGGGAAAGAUUCAUCGCUGUUGGAUGAGCCCGCGUCCGAUUAGCUAGUUGGCGGGGUAAAAGCCCACCAAGGCGACGAUCGGUAGCUGGUCUGAGAGGAUGAUCAGCCACACUGGGACUGAGACACGGCCCAGACUCCUACGGGAGGCAGCAGUGGGGGAUAUUGGACAAUGGGGGAAACCCUGAUCCAGCCAUGCCGCGUGGGUGAAGAAGGCCCUAGGGUUGUAAAGCCCUUUCGGCGGGGACGAUGAUGACGGUACCCGCAGAAGAAGCACCGGCUAACUUCGUGCCAGCAGCCGCGGUAAUACGAAGGGUGCUAGCGUUGUUCGGAAUCACUGGGCGUAAAGCGCACGUAGGCGGUCCGCACCAGUCAGGCGUGAAAGCCCCAGGCUCAACCUGGGAAUUGCGCUUGAUACUAGCGGGCUAGAGUCCGGGAGAGGGUAGUGGAAUUCCCAGUGUAGAGGUGAAAUUCGUAGAUAUUGGGAAGAACACCGGUGGCGAAGGCGGCUACCUGGACCGGUACUGACGCUGAGGUGCGAAAGCGUGGGGGAGCAAACAGGA
Molecule: ribosomal RNA, 677 nt
Filed under: uncultured bacterium
Lineage: Bacteria
Description: bacterial SSU rRNA
Rfam family: Bacterial small subunit ribosomal RNA
Source: RNAcentral